RNAcentral lists this ribosomal RNA (253 nucleotides) under uncultured bacterium. RNAcentral's name for it is "partial 16S ribosomal RNA". It matches the Rfam family "Bacterial small subunit ribosomal RNA", at positions 524 to 776 of the family's 1533-position model. The record is from RNAcentral.
GACGUAGGGGGCAAGCGUUGUUCGGAAUUAUUGGGCGUAAAGCGCUCGUAGGCGGUCUGUCGCGUCUGCUGUGAAAACUCGGGGCUUAACCCCGGGCCUGCAGUGGGUACGGGCAGACUAGAGUGCGGUACGGGAGACUGGAAUUCCUGGUGUAGCGGUGAAAUGCGCAGAUAUCAGGAGGAACACCGGUGGCGAAGGCGGGUCUCUGGGCCGUAACUGACGCUGAGGAGCGAAAGCGUGGGGAGCGAACAGG